CGGUAGGAUGUGAGCAGCAACUGUUUGGGCUGGUGGCACAGAGGUAAAAGAACUUACCAAGACAGCUGUGGGUGAAGAAAGGCAGAUUUAUUAAAGACAGUAUCAAAGUAUGUUAUCAGGGAGCAACAGGCAGAAUCAGUGGAAGAGGAGCUGACUGCAAGGAAACAAAGGCUUGCUGGAGAUUUUAUAGGAUGGUUCCUGGGCUGAUUGAUAAUGCCAAGGCAGCAGGGAGCUGACCUGCAUUCUUCUGUCACCCGAGGUGUUUGAUGAUAAGUGGAUGCGUGCGUUUGAUGAUAAGCAGGAAGUUUGUGAGUUACGUUCAUUAUUUGCUCGGCAGGGC
This 340-nucleotide long non-coding RNA is filed under the name Homo sapiens (human). Its description in RNAcentral is "non-protein coding lnc-ZNF582-1:1". Lineage: Eukaryota; Metazoa; Chordata; Mammalia; Primates; Hominidae. The record is from RNAcentral.